CCCGGCCAGGAAUGGACAGCCUCCAGGACACAGUGGCCCUGGACCAUGGGGGCUGCUGCCCUGCCCUCAGCAGGCUGGUUCCCAGAGGCUUUGGGACUGAGAUGUGGACUCUCUUUGCCCUUUCUGGACCCCUGUUCCUGUUCCAGGUGCUGACUUUUAUGAUCUACAUUGUGAGCACUGUGUUCUGCGGGCACCUGGGCAAGGUGGAGCUGGCAUCGGUGACCCUCGCGGUGGCCUUUGUCAAUGUCUGCGGAGUUUCUGUAGGAGUUGGUUUGUCUUCGGCAUGUGACACCUUGAUGUCUCAGAGCUUCGGCAGCCCCAACAAGAAGCACGUGGGCGUGAUCCUGCAGCGCGGCGCGCUGGUCCUGCUCCUCUGCUGCCUCCCUUGCUGGGCGCUCUUCCUCAACACCCAGCACAUCCUGCUGCUCUUCCGGCAGGACCCGGACGUGUCCAGGUUGACCCAGGACUAUGUAAUGAUUUUCAUUCCAGGACUUCCGGUGAUUUUUCUUUACAAUCUGCUGGCAAAAUAUUUGCAAAAUCAGAAGAUCACCUGGCCCCAAGUCCUCAGUGGUGUGGUGGGCAACUGUGUCAACGGUGUGGCCAACUAUGCCCUGGUUUCUGUGCUGAACCUGGGGGUCAGGGGCUCCGCCUAUGCCAACAUCAUCUCCCAGUUUGCACAGACCGUCUUCCUCCUUCUCUACAUUGUGCUGAAGAAGCUGCACCUGGAGACGUGGGCAGGUUGGUCCAGCCAGUGCCUGCAGGACUGGGGCCCCUUCUUCUCCCUGGCUGUCCCCAGCAUGCUCAUGAUCUGUGUUGAGUGGUGGGCCUAUGAGAUCGGGAGCUUCCUCAUGGGGCUGCUCAGCGUGGUGGAUCUCUCUGCCCAGGCUGUCAUCUACGAGGUGGCCACUGUGACCUACAUGAGACACAGCCAUCAUCUUGCUUAUGCAGCCCAUGUCACUCGGAUUCCCUUGGGGCUCAGCCUCGGGGUCUGUGUCCGAGUGGGGAUGGCUCUGGGAGCUGCGGAUACUGUGCAGGCCAAGCGCUCGGCCGUCUCGGGCGUGCUCAGCAUAGUUGGCAUUUCCCUGGUCCUGGGCACCCUGAUAAGCAUCCUGAAAAAUCAGCUGGGGCAUAUUUUUACCAAUGAUGAAGAUGUCAUUGCCCUGGUGAGCCAGGUCUUGCCGGUUUAUAGUGUCUUUCACGUGUUUGAGGCCAUCUGUUGUGUCUAUGGCGGAGUUCUGAGAGGAACUGGGAAGCAGGCCUUUGGUGCCGCUGUGAAUGCCAUCACAUAUUACAUCAUCGGCCUACCACUGGGCAUCCUUCUGACCUUUGUGGUCAGAAUGAGAAUCAUGGGUAUGUGGUGUGAGGAAGUCGGGAGAGGCCUGGGUGGUCGUCAGACAUUGUUCCCAUCAUCACUUGUCUCCUCCAGGCCUCUGGCUGGGCAUGCUGGCCUGUGUCUUCCUGGCAACUGCUGCCUUUGUUGCUUAUACUGCCCGGCUGGACUGGAAGCUUGCUGCAGAGGAGGCUAAGAAACAUUCUGGCCGGCAGCAGCAGCAGAGAGCAGAGAGCACUGCAACCAGACCUGGGCCUGAGAAAGCAGUCCUAUCUUCAGUGGCUACAGGCAGUUCCCCUGGCAUUACCUUGACAACGUAUUCAAGGUCUGAUUGCCACGUGGACUUCUUCAGGACUCCAGAGGAGGCCCACGCCCUUUCAGCUCCUACCAGCAGACUAUCAGUGAAACAGCUGGUCAUCCGCCGUGGGGCCGCUCUGGGGGCGGCGUCAGCCACACUGAUGGUGGGGCUCACGGUCAGGAUCCUAGCCACCAGGCACUAGCGAAGAAGCUUGGAAAUAGAAAGCCAGGAGUGGCUGUCCCCAGUAUGCAAACACACCACGGUAUGCCCUGCAAAAACACCAAUGGGGUCUAGUGCAGGUGGACACUUUGAACCACUCCUCAAAAAAAGAACUUUGGCUGAUUCCUUGUGGUGACACUCAGAGGGGUCUGAACAGAGCAGACUUGACAAUUCUGUUCUGGUCAAGCUGGAGUUUUCUUCUGUGACUUGGACUGCUCUACAGAAGACAUCAGCUAACUGCACAAGUCAGAGUCCAGGGAUUGUCACUAUUAUUAAUAAUGUAAAUGGCUUCAAAUGGGACACUGCAGAUAAAAUCACAAAAACCACUGUUAUAUUAAAGAUUACACAUUUCCUAGGCA
This 2206-nucleotide small RNA is filed under the name Pan troglodytes (chimpanzee). RNAcentral's name for it is "retained intron". Lineage: Eukaryota; Metazoa; Chordata; Mammalia; Primates; Hominidae. The record is from RNAcentral.